RNAcentral lists this ribosomal RNA (465 nucleotides) under uncultured bacterium. Its description in RNAcentral is "partial 16S ribosomal RNA". It matches the Rfam family "Bacterial small subunit ribosomal RNA", at positions 338 to 795 of the family's 1533-position model. The record is from RNAcentral.
CCUUCGGGGGGCAGCAGUGGGGAAUAUUGCGCAAUGGGCGAAAGCCUGACGCAGCGACGCCGCGUGAGGGAUGAAGGUCUUCGGAUCGUAAACCUCUGUCAGCAGGGAAGAACGGUCACUGUGCUAAUCAGCAGUGAAUUGACGGUACCUGCAAAGGAAGCACCGGCUAACUCCGUGCCAGCAGCCGCGGUAAUACGUAGGGGGCAAGCGUUAUCCGGUUUUACUGGGUGUAAAGGGAGCGUAGACGGCAGCGCAAGUCUGGAGUGAAAUCCCAUGGCUUAACCAUGGAACUGCUUUGGAAACUGUGCAGCUAGAGUGCAGGAGAGGUAAGCGGAAUUCCUAGUGUAGCGGUGAAAUGCGUAGAUAUUAGGAGGAACACCAGUGGCGAAGGCGGAUUGCUGGACAGUAACUGACGCUGAGGCGCGAAAGCGUGGGGAGCAAACAGGAUUAGAUACCCCAGUAGUC